UGCAAAGAUACCACUGGACAGUACUGCCUCAGGGCAUGAAAAACAGCCCGAUGAUUUUUCAAACAGUGGUAGCCAACAUCAUACAUCCUGUUCAAAAACUCCACCCUUCAGCCAUCAUCUGUCAUUAUAUAGAUGACAUCCUGAUAGCAGCAAAACACGGGACCGAACUACAAUCCACCUUGACUGCCUUAACUGACGCCAUCCAAAAAGCAGGUCUGCAGCUUGCCCCAGAAAAAAUUCAACGCACCCAACCUUGGACCUACCUCGGACGGAGGAUCACUCAACAGGAAAUCAUGCCACAACCACUGACUUUCAAAGUAACGGACACUAUGACCCUGAAUGAUUUGCAACAGCUUUUAGGAGCCAUUAACUGGCUGAGGCCUGUCUUGGGGAUCACAACAGAGGAAUUGCACCCCCUCUUCGAGCUACUUAAAGGUGACCCAACUCUCACAUCCAUUCGAUCCCUAACCCCAGAAGCAAAACAAGCUCUGGAAGUAUGCUCCCAAGCCGUCAAAAACAGGCAAAGCAGACGACGACACCCUGACCUGCACAUUCGCCUCACCAUCAUAUCCAGCAAGUUCCAACUUUUGCUGUCCUUUUCCAAUGGGAUCAGGCAGAAUCCGACCCUUUGAGAAUUCUAGAAUGGUUAUUUCUUCCCCACUCUCCACCUAAGACUGUUUGGACCAUUAAUGACAUGCUUGCUAAGCUCGUCAUGAAAGGUAGGGGACGUCUGCAGGAGAUGGAUGGAAGGGAUCCUGAGACGAUCUACAUUCCAGCCACAAAAGACAACUUAGACUGGCUUCUUGCAGAGGACGCUGGGUUUCAGACUACAUUAGCGGACUUCCACGGUAAUAUUUCCAUUCACUUCCCGAAACAUAAACUCUGGGCGGAAAUAGGAAAUCUACCCCUGAUGGCCACGCAUCGCUGCAAACUACGACCAGUAAAUGGAAUCACAGUCUUCACUGAUGCGUCUGGACAAUCCAAAAAAGCCGCCGUGACAUGGAAGAACCCUGCCACAGGACAAUGGGACAAUAAGGUACAAACCUUGGACCAAGGUUCUGUACAGGUUUUAGAACUAGCAGCUAUCCGCAUGGCAUUUGAAUUGUUCCAUGCACCAGUUAUGAUCAAAGAUCUAAUAUCUGGGCAAUGGUCAGGACCAGUAGAUCUCGUAACAUGGGGAAGGGGAUAUACCUGUGUAUCCAAGGGUACCAAAUUGCAAUGGGUCCCUUCUAGAUGUGUCAGGUCUUAUAUUAGCCCUCCACCACAACAGGAACAACCACCAGAAGAAAUAAGUGAAGGAUUUGGAUUAGAAGAAACAUGACCAACAAUAGUAAAUACACCACAAAGUGAAAAAAAAAAAAAAGGGGGGGGGAAAGAGAUAUGGGUCCUAUGUGUGUAAAUCUACAUUAACAUUUAUUUAAAACAGGGAUAAUCACAAAGAAGCAAUAAAUGAUACAACAGAACCA
This 1466-nucleotide long non-coding RNA is filed under the name Manacus vitellinus (golden-collared manakin). Its description in RNAcentral is "lncRNA (ENSMVIG00005002772.1)". The record is from RNAcentral. Lineage: Eukaryota; Metazoa; Chordata; Aves; Passeriformes; Pipridae.